RNAcentral lists this transfer RNA (75 nucleotides) under Eggerthella lenta. RNAcentral's name for it is "tRNA-Ile". It matches the Rfam family "tRNA". From Rfam's summary of the family: Transfer RNA (tRNA) molecules are approximately 80 nucleotides in length. The record is from RNAcentral. Lineage: Bacteria; Bacillati; Actinomycetota; Coriobacteriia; Eggerthellales; Eggerthellaceae. RNAcentral also lists the same sequence under 1 other name.
GGCCUCCUAGCACAACGGUCAGGGCGGCGGCCUUAUAAGCCGCAGAGCCGGGUUCGACUCCCGGGGAGGCCACCA